ACUCUUCUCUCUCUCUCUCUUCCAAGCCAUAGGUUCCUCUACACAACUCUGCUCUCUCUCUCUUGCAUCUAAGCCCUACCUUUCUCUCUCUGCUCUCUCUCUCUCGUCAAAGCCCUAUCUUUCUCUUUUCGCUCUUCACGACCUUUCAUACACAGGAGUUCUUCACAUCAGGCUCUCACGACUGCCAUGGUUGAGGACAGCGAGAAUCAGCUUGGUUCUAUUCUAUGUCAACAGAUGAUGUUAGUAGGGCUUCUCGACUUCUAGAUACUAAGAUUCAAGUGCUCAAGGAGGAGUUGCAAAGAUUAAAUCUUGAGUUGGAUUCCUUCAAGGAAAAGAUAAAGGAGAAUCAAGAGAAAAUAAAACUCAACAAGCAGCUUCCAUAUCUGGUCAGCAAUAGUGGAGGAAAAUGGUUGCAAGGAACAGAGGAUAUGGUUUAAAGAUCAAAUGGGCCAACACCGUGGCAUCCGUGGUAAUAAGACUUCUCGUAUUGGAGGGAAGGAUUAUAAUACAUUAGAUGACUCAACAAAGAGAUGUUUGGAAAUGUUAUGUGGUCCCGAUGGUGAGAUUCCUGAGGAAUUACAGAAUUUAUAACCUCAUCAUAUUGAACAUGUCUGUAAUGAGAUAAUGGAGCGGGAUCCCAAUGUUCGCUGGGAUGAUAUUGGUAACAUAAGAUGUUGUAGACUUUUCCCAUUUUCAUAUUCUUGUAGAAAGUUUAUGUAUUUGGACAUUUUGUUCUAAUCAUAUUUUUUUGCCUGUCCAUUCUCUAGCUGGUUUGGAGCAUGCUAAAAAAAGUGUGACCGAGAUGGUUAUAUAGCCUUUAUUAUGUCCUAACAUUUUUAAAGGUUGCCAUUCUCCGGGAAGAGGUCUUCUUCUGUUUAGUCCCCAGUACCGAGAUCAAGAUUCGGGAUUCACAUCAUGCUUGGAUGAUUUGUAGACUUGAAGUUUUCAUUUCUUGUAAAUGUUGGCUUGAAAUGUCAUUUAUAGCUUAUAUGUCAAAAUGUGUAAAUUUGAUUCUAUUUUUAUAAUGUGUACAUAAGUACACUCUUUACAAUGUAUUUGACAUGUAUGAGAUGAGGCCGGAAGCCAAUGACAUGUAUCUUGCUUUCUAUGCACUUUCGUUUUCAAGGCUUAAUAUGAAAAUGUUGAAAAAUGUUUAGACAUUGUGUCAUAACUUUUGCCGGGUGUGGGAAUUUCAUUUUUAUUCUUUCGUAGGGUCUCAUUAAUCAUGUUUAAAGUGUGGCCAAGGGUCAAAUGGUAAUUUAAAAUCAUUUGUCAAUUUUGGUUUUCAUAUUUUCAAUUUCAAGUUCAUUUUUGCCUUUUUGGCCGUUGGGGGGUCGGAUUUUGACUCGGCCAUUUCUGGGAGCGGUGGACCAUUCCCACGUGUUCAAAAUCACCAUUUACGUCUAUGUGCAUGAUCGUUUCCGGAAAAACCCUUUCGUUUGUGAUUUGAGCCUCCUAUGGAACCAUUUUUCAAUUUUAUUGCAUAAUCUGUUCUAGGGGUAUUAUAGACUUUUUACAUCAGUUUUAUUUUCUUCUUUCGGCAUUGUCACUUAAAAAACGUGAUUUUAGAGGGGUUUUCUUCUUCGUGUUUUUCCAGAAAACAUCGUCUUGGUACCGGAAAUCUCUCGUGAAGUUUCAGCUUCCAGUUUCAUUUUAGCAGCUGUUUAGCUCUUUUGACCAGAUUUCUUGGGAGGGCAUUUUGGCCAUUUUGCAGUGAGUUUUUUUUAAUUGUUUUAUAAGUCACGUAGAAAACUCAAUUUUGAGGGGGGUUUCUUCUUUGUGUUUUUGCAAAAAAAAUUCAUCUAGGCCUCCAAAUUCAGCCUCUGUUCUGGAAUUUUCUAAAAAAAAAACCACACAGCAGCUUUAUGGGCUGCUGCGAGCCAUGGUGCACCCAGCGCGCGCGCGACGUGCAUGGUUGCGCGCAUUGGCGUGCGCAUGGGGCUGUCAUGGCCCCUCAUCAGGCCGCCGCGACGUCAAUUCUUCUUUUGGGCUUUUCUCCUUCGUUCAGACUCCAAUUCAAGUGAAUUUU
This is a long non-coding RNA of Cornus florida, 2029 nucleotides long. RefSeq lists it as uncharacterized. NCBI's taxonomy places the organism in Eukaryota, Viridiplantae, Streptophyta, Magnoliopsida, Cornales, Cornaceae. The record is from RefSeq and is a predicted model, not a curated record. The transcript has 5 exons.